This 84-nucleotide transfer RNA is filed under the name Elusimicrobiota bacterium. Its description in RNAcentral is "Elusimicrobia bacterium (microbial mat metagenome) tRNA-Leu". It matches the Rfam family "tRNA". From Rfam's summary of the family: Transfer RNA (tRNA) molecules are approximately 80 nucleotides in length. Lineage: Bacteria; Pseudomonadati; Elusimicrobiota. The record is from RNAcentral.
GGGCGGAUGGUGGAAUUGGCAGACACGUAAGCUUCAGGAGCUUAUGACCGUUUGGUCGUGGGGGUUCAACUCCCCCUCCGCCCA